This 403-nucleotide ribosomal RNA is filed under the name uncultured bacterium. RNAcentral's name for it is "partial 16S ribosomal RNA". It matches the Rfam family "Bacterial small subunit ribosomal RNA", at positions 28 to 526 of the family's 1533-position model. The record is from RNAcentral.
GACGAACGCUGGCGGCGUGCCUAAUACAUGCAAGUCGAACGCAGUGGGGACGGGUGAGUAACACGUGGGUAACCUCCCAUCAGAGGGGAUAACACUUGGAAACAGGUGCUAAACCGAUACUGAUGGAUGGACCCGCGGUGCAUUAGCUCGUUGGUGGGGUAACGGCCCACCAAGGCCCCGAUGCCUAGCCGGACUGAGAGGGGGAUCGGCAAGACUGGGACUGAGACACGGCCCAGACUCCUACGGGAGGCAGCAGUGGGGAAUAUUCGGCAAUGGACGAAAGUCUGACCGAGCAACGACGCGUGAGUGAAGAAGGUUUUCGGAUCGUAAAACUCUGUUGUUAGAGAAGCGGUAUCUAAACAGAAAGCCACGGCUAACUACGUGCCAGCAGCCGCGGUAAUUC